AAUGGUAUGCCUGAAGAUAGGAUUAUUUUGAUAGAAUAGGCUACGUAGAAAAACUACUACCAUUG
RNAcentral lists this transfer RNA (65 nucleotides) under Zorka agnesae. Its description in RNAcentral is "tRNA-Ile". The record is from RNAcentral. Lineage: Eukaryota; Metazoa; Arthropoda; Insecta; Hemiptera; Cicadellidae.